CGUCAAGUCAUCAUGCCCCUUAUGUCCAGGGCUUCACACAUGCUACAAUGGCCGGUACAAAGGGCUGCGAUGCCGUGAGGUGGAGCGAAUCCUUUAAAGCCGGUCUCAGUUCGGAUCGGGGUCUGCAACUCGACCCCGUGAAGUCGGAGUCGCUAGUAAUCGCAGAUCAGCAACGCUGCGGUGAAUACGUUCCCGGGCCUUG
This 202-nucleotide ribosomal RNA is filed under the name uncultured alveolate. Its description in RNAcentral is "partial Bacterial small subunit ribosomal RNA". It matches the Rfam family "Bacterial small subunit ribosomal RNA", at positions 1183 to 1383 of the family's 1533-position model. The record is from RNAcentral.